Molecule: long non-coding RNA, 364 nt
Filed under: Vigna radiata
Lineage: Eukaryota; Viridiplantae; Streptophyta; Magnoliopsida; Fabales; Fabaceae
Description: long non-coding RNA (VRAD_LNC008869)
Source: RNAcentral
UUGUGUUUCCAAAAUUGAUAGCACAUUGAUAGAUUAUAUGAGAGGGUGAAGAAAAAAAGUAAGGGUAUGUUGAUGAAUGAUGAAAAAGGAAACGAUACUAGUCUCGUGUGGCUUUUGCACCGACACAAAACUUAAAAUUGCAAUCUUGCUUACGCAGAAACCUUUAAAACUCUAAACUCACGGGAAACAAUCCCUUCUCACUUUUUUUCCUCUUUUAUGCUCUCUCUUAAACCAUGAAUAAAAGUAAAUCAUUCUUUGCUUCUCUUCCUCUCUUUCACUUUUUUAUGUCAUAUUCGGAUGCUUUACACAUUUUUCCUUUAUACUUAAGUCAAAAAAAUAUAACAUAAUCAACUUAAACGUACCC